GACGUAGGGCGCGAGCGUUGUCCGGAUUUAUUGGGCGUAAAGAGCUCGUAGGCGGCUUGUCGCGUCGACCGUGAAAACUUGGGGCUCAACCCCAAGCCUGCGGUCGAUACGGGCAGGCUCGAGUUCGGUAGGGGAGACUGGAAUUCCUGGUGUAGCGGUGAAAUGCGCAGAUAUCAGGAGGAACACCGGUGGCGAAGGCGGGUCUCUGGGCCGAUAUUGACGCUGAGGAGCGAAAGCGUGGGGAGCGAACAGG
RNAcentral lists this ribosomal RNA (253 nucleotides) under uncultured bacterium. Its description in RNAcentral is "partial 16S ribosomal RNA". It matches the Rfam family "Bacterial small subunit ribosomal RNA", at positions 524 to 776 of the family's 1533-position model. The record is from RNAcentral.